AACGAACGCUGGCGGCAUGCCUAACACAUGCAAGUCGAACGAGACCUUCGGGUCUAGUGGCGCACGGGUGCGUAACGCGUGGGAACCUGCCCUUAGGUUCGGAAUAACUCCCCGAAAGGGGUGCUAAUACCGGGUAAUGUCUUCGGACCAAAGAUUUAUCGCCUUUGGAUGGGGCCGCGUUGGAUUAGCUAGUUGGUAGGGUAAAAGCCUACCAAGGCGACGAUCCAUAGCUGGUCUGAGAGGAUGAUCAGCCACACUGGGACUGAGACACGGCCCAGACUCCUACGGGAGGCAGCAGUGGGGAAUAUUGGACAAUGGGCGAAAGGCUGAUCCAGCAAGGCCGGGUGAGUGAUGAAGGGCUUAGGGUUGUAAAGCUCUUUUACCCGGGAUGAUAAUGACAGUACCGGGAGAAUAAGCUCCGGCUAACUCCGUG
RNAcentral lists this ribosomal RNA (433 nucleotides) under uncultured bacterium. RNAcentral's name for it is "partial 16S ribosomal RNA". It matches the Rfam family "Bacterial small subunit ribosomal RNA", at positions 29 to 507 of the family's 1533-position model. The record is from RNAcentral.